UGGGGAAUAUUGGACAAUGGGGGCAACCCUGAUCCAGCAAUGCCGCGUGAGUGAAGAAGGCCUUAGGGUUGUAAAGCUCUUUCACCCGUGACGAUGAUGACGGUAGCGGGAGAAGAAGCCCCGGCUAACACCGUGCCAGCAGCCGCGGUAAGACGGAGGGGGCUAGCGUUGUUCGGAAUUACUGGGCGUAAAGCGCGCGUAGGCGGUUUGCCAAGUUGAGGGUGAAAUCCCGGGGCUCAACCCCGGAACUGCCUUCAAAACUGGCCGACUUGAGUCCGGAAGAGGAGAGUGGAAUUCCCAGUGUAGAGGUGAAAUUCGUAGAUAUUGGGAAGAACACCGGUGGCGAAGGCGACUCUCUGGUCCGGUACUGACGCUGAGGUGCGAAAGCGUGGGGAGCAAACAGGAUUAGAUACCCCUGUAGUCC
Molecule: ribosomal RNA, 424 nt
Filed under: uncultured prokaryote
Description: bacterial SSU rRNA
Rfam family: Bacterial small subunit ribosomal RNA
Source: RNAcentral